UACGUAGGGGGCAAGCGUUGUCCGGAUUUAUUGGGCGUAAAGAGCGUGUAGGCGGCCAGACAGGUCCGUUGUGAAAACUCGGGGCUUAACCCCGAGCCUGCAGUGGAUACGGGCAGACUAGAGGUAGGUAGGGGAGAAUGGAAUUCCCGGUGUAGCGGUGAAAUGCGCAGAUAUCGGGAGGAACACCGGUGGCGAAGGCGGUUCUCUGGGCCUUACCUGACGCUGAGGAGCGAAAGCGUGGGGAGCGAACAGG
This 253-nucleotide ribosomal RNA is filed under the name uncultured bacterium. RNAcentral's name for it is "partial 16S ribosomal RNA". It matches the Rfam family "Bacterial small subunit ribosomal RNA", at positions 524 to 776 of the family's 1533-position model. The record is from RNAcentral.